ACGGAGGGUGCGAGCGUUAAUCGGAAUUACUGGGCGUAAAGCGCGCAGGCGGUUUGUUAAGUAGGAUGUGAAAGCCCCGGGCUCAACCUGGGAACUGCAUUUUGAACUGGCAGACUAGAGUCUUGGAGAGGGGGGUGGAAUUCCAGGUGUAGCGGUGAAAUGCGUAGAGAUCUGGAGGAACAUCAGUGGCGAAGGCGGCCCCCUGGCCAAAGACUGACGCUCAUGUGCGAAAGUGUGGGUAGCGAACAGGAUUAGACUACCCCGUAGUC
RNAcentral lists this ribosomal RNA (269 nucleotides) under uncultured bacterium. RNAcentral describes it as "partial 16S ribosomal RNA". It matches the Rfam family "Bacterial small subunit ribosomal RNA", at positions 525 to 795 of the family's 1533-position model. The record is from RNAcentral.